Long non-coding RNA from Athalia rosae (coleseed sawfly), 964 nucleotides. RefSeq lists it as uncharacterized. The record is from RefSeq and is a predicted model, not a curated record. NCBI's taxonomy places the organism in Eukaryota, Metazoa, Arthropoda, Insecta, Hymenoptera, Athaliidae. The transcript has 2 exons.
CUCUAUUGCGUAACUCGUAUUAUUACUAAUUGUUAAUUAUCAAUUGUUACACACAAUUUUAACAGGUAAUUAAUUAGUUGAGAAUUCAAGAGGGCGCGAAGGAGAGGGGGUGAGUUCACAUUUAUUAUACGCUUUGUCAUGACGGUAAUUUCUCUGCUGAUCGUUUAUAGACUGUUAUAUAGAGAAAUAGGAUACCGUUAUAAACUGCAGUUUUUUCGGAUUUCUUCUUCGUUUUUUCUCCAUGUUUGCAGUCGAUUAAUUAUUCCUCGUUUUCGUCGGUUAUUUUGCAUUUGAAUAAAAUUCUCCAGUUUGUUUUCUAUAGGGCGCAUUUUUUUGUCAUAUUAAUCGGGACGAUUAUAAUGUUAAAUUUUGGUUGUAAAAAGAACAAAUGUUUCAAACGUCAUAAUUAAAUACCUGUACAUAAGACCAAAAUAGUUUGGGAUCUUCUAAAAGGAAACAAUUUUCUAGCACAUCUGAUAUCAUCAAAUUUUGCACAUCGAUAAAAUUCUCCUUCUAUGUACAAAACGAUUUUUAUAAAUUUUGAAAACCUCAAGGGUAUAUAUCAUCAGUUGACGGUCUAAUUAGUGAUUAAAGAGUUAAAUUUUUUUUUUUUAUAGCAACACAAAACAGCUGCGGUUCAUCACCGUAAAAUAAAUUACGAGUUCAAAGAAGACACCCGGUGCAGUGAGGAUAAUUUAAUCUUUAGAACCGGAAAGGAAUUGUUGAAAUCCAUCUCACGGUGUUAUCUGAAUCUUUGGACUUUGGAACAUUUGAAUAAUCUACAGAAAAGGGACAACUUUAUAUGUUUUGGAAGACCCUCUGAAAGACGUUGGUUUUUUUACAUACUCCUGUGGUUCAACUGAUAACAGAAAACCACUUGAUAAGGACUAAAAAUCUGAACAAACAACAAUUCCUCAAAAGAGGAUUUUUGUAAAGCCUCUCUAUUAAAAUGUAGUACAACAUA